RNAcentral lists this ribosomal RNA (253 nucleotides) under uncultured bacterium. RNAcentral describes it as "partial 16S ribosomal RNA". It matches the Rfam family "Bacterial small subunit ribosomal RNA", at positions 524 to 776 of the family's 1533-position model. The record is from RNAcentral.
UACGUAGGGUGCAAGCGUUGUCCGGAAUUAUUGGGCGUAAAGAGCUCGUAGGCGGUUUGUCGCGUCUGCUGUGAAAAUCCAGGGCUUAACCCUGGACCUGCAGUGGAUACGGGCAGACUAGAGGUAGGUAGGGGAGAAUGGAAUUCCCGGUGUAGCGGUGAAAUGCGCAGAUAUCGGGAGGAACACCGGUGGCGAAGGCGGGUCUCUGGGCCGAUACUGACGCUGAGGAGCGAAAGCGUGGGGAGCGAACAGG